ACGGGGUGCAGCAGGCGCGAAACCUCUACAAUGCACGAAAGUGUGAUAGGGGAAUUCCACGUGCAAGCUAUGCUUGCUUUUCUCAAGUCUAAAACGCUUGGGGAAUAAGGGCUGGGCAAGACCCGUGCCAGCCGCCGCGGUAACACGGGCAGCUCUAGUAGCGUUCGCGAAUAUUGGGCCUAAAGCGUGCGUAGCCUGUUAAACAAGUUCUUGGUGAAAGCCUGUGACUCAAUUAUGGGAGUUGCCAGGAAAACUGUUUUGACUUGGGACCGGGAAGGGUCGGAGGUAUUCCUUGGGUAGGGGUAAAAUCCUAUAAUCCUUGGAGGACCAUCGGUGGCGAAGGCGUCCGACUGGAACGGGUCCGACGGUGAGGCACGAAAGCUAGGGGAGCGACCGGGAUUAGAUACCCCGUUAGUCCUAGCCGUAAAUGAUGCAAGUUUGGUAUUGCAAUCCUUACGAGGGAUUGCAGUGCCGUAGGGAAGCCGUAAACUUGCCGCCUGGG
This 502-nucleotide ribosomal RNA is filed under the name uncultured archaeon. RNAcentral's name for it is "bacterial SSU rRNA". It matches the Rfam family "Archaeal small subunit ribosomal RNA", at positions 325 to 832 of the family's 1478-position model. The record is from RNAcentral.